RNAcentral lists this long non-coding RNA (282 nucleotides) under Lathyrus oleraceus (garden pea). RNAcentral's name for it is "Pisum sativum (pea) long non-coding RNA (PSAT_LNC019941)". Lineage: Eukaryota; Viridiplantae; Streptophyta; Magnoliopsida; Fabales; Fabaceae. The record is from RNAcentral.
UGUAAUCUCUAUCUAGAUUACUAACUCAAAACGCCAUUCAAGUCCAUCAUUGUAAUUCCUAUUUGGAUUACUAACUCAAAACGCCAUCCAAGGUCAUCACUAUAAUCCCUCUCUAGAUUACUAUACUCAAAACUAUAAUGUUUAAAACAUUUUAUUUAUUUAUCUCAAAAGGUAAAUUUUAUAUUAUUACCAAUUGUCCUCAAUUACUCAAACUGCUCAAAAUAACUCAAAAAGUCCCAAUGACUUAGAAUUUCUCAAAACUUAUUAUUUUCUCAAAAACUC